Molecule: unclassified non-coding RNA, 374 nt
Filed under: soil metagenome
Description: partial contains internal transcribed spacer 2 and large subunit ribosomal RNA
Rfam family: 5.8S ribosomal RNA (bases 1-120)
Source: RNAcentral
GAUGAAGAACGUAGCGAAAUACGAUAAUUAAUGUGAAUUGCAGAAUUCCGUGAAUCAUCGAGUCUUUGAACGCACAUUGCGCCUCAUGGCAUUCCGUGAGGCAUGCCCAUCUCAGCGUUUGAAAAUAUUCUCAAAUUUUAGUUUUGUGCUAAAAUUUGGAUCAUGUCAAAGAAGCUAUUACUAUUAUUGUGAUCGCUCUUUGGAAAUUGAUAGGUCUUUGAGUUGCUACUCAUAGAACGUGAUGAAUCUUUCUUCGUUCUAUUGUAAUUCACUCUGGUAGUCCUAAAACUUGUAUGCCUGUGGCAUAUCUUGUAAUUUGACCUGAGAUUGGGUAGGGAUACCCGCUGAACUUAAGCAUAUCAAUAAGCGGAGGA